CUACAGAGGGUGCGAGCGUUAAUCGGAAUUACUGGGCGUAAAGCGCGCGUAGGCGGCUUAUUAAGUCAGAUGUGAAAUCCCCGGGCUCAACCUGGGAACUGCAUCUGAUACUGGUAAGCUAGAGUUUUGGAGAGGGAAGUAGAAUUUCAGGUGUAGCGGUGAAAUGCAUAGAGAUCUGAAGGAAUACCAGUGGCGAAGGCGACUUCCUGGCCAAAAACUGACGCUGAGGUGCGAAAGCGUGGGUAGCAAACGGGAUUAGAAACCCCGGUAGUCC
This 274-nucleotide ribosomal RNA is filed under the name uncultured bacterium. Its description in RNAcentral is "partial 16S ribosomal RNA". It matches the Rfam family "Bacterial small subunit ribosomal RNA", at positions 523 to 796 of the family's 1533-position model. The record is from RNAcentral.